Molecule: long non-coding RNA, 798 nt
Filed under: Ananas comosus (pineapple)
Lineage: Eukaryota; Viridiplantae; Streptophyta; Magnoliopsida; Poales; Bromeliaceae
Description: long non-coding RNA (ACOM_LNC028423)
Source: RNAcentral
GAAUGAUACUUAUUCUUGUUUUAAGAAAGCUAAAAUAAAUGAAUUAUUUAUGAUAAAAAUAAAAUAAAAUGCCCAUUUUAUAUUAAAAAAAAAAAUAGGCCAUUUUUUGACGCCCAGAAAUGGCAGCGAAUAAGAAAAAAAAUCUAAAAUGCAACGGUCAUAUUGUUGAUGUAACGCUCCCUAACCAAUCAAAAAGCUUUCGAUUUACCGAUCUCUAUGGUUUUUAGAAAAAAAAAACUUUUAUUAUAUUUUUUUUCUCAAAAAGAAAUAUGUGAUUAGUUGGGAAUAGACGAUGUAGUGUAAGCGUUAUGUAAUGGACUUCCUCGCGGAUAAGGAUGUCAAUAAGUCGGAUUCGAAGUGGAUUUUCAAGAACCAGAACCCGAACCCAACUACCAAACCCGAAAUCCGAACCCUAAUCCAAAUCAAACGAAUUUUAAAAAAUCCAUACCCAAAAUCCGAACCCAACCAAAAAUUCAAAACCCGAACCCAAGUCCGAAUCUAAAAAUUCGAACCCCGAAACAAUUAUUUCUCUUUACAAUAUUUCAAAAUUUAUCAUAUUAAAUCUAAAUUUUUAAAAUAAAAAUUAAAAUAUAACAUCAAAUAUAUAUAUAUUUUGUAAUGUAAAAUAAUUUCGGAUUCGGAUUCGGGUUCGGGUGCUGGUUCGGGUCGAGUACAAUCAAAAUCCAUAUCCAAAUUUAAAUCCGCUGAGUUUUCAUUUUUGAUAUUCGUAUUUGAAGAUAUAUCUAUUUAGCGUGGAAUAAAUUCACCCUAUUUGGAUUCAAAUUGAAAUUUAAAUAA